Lycium ferocissimum is the source of this 857-nucleotide long non-coding RNA. RefSeq lists it as uncharacterized. The record is from RefSeq and is a predicted model, not a curated record. The transcript is spliced from 2 exons. Lineage: Eukaryota; Viridiplantae; Streptophyta; Magnoliopsida; Solanales; Solanaceae.
CGUUGUGUAUCUCUACAACCGACAUUGUGAGUGAACACAUUCUUUCAGGUGAAAUUGUUAUUCAUGGUGGCCUUGAACUGGUCGGUACAAAUUGUAUACAGUCAAUGGAUACAAAUGAAUCGAUGUCAGUUGCGGCCUCAAGUUCUAAUCAUCAAGUAGUUACGUUCGGAGGUGACAACGAUUUGAUAAUCUCGAACCGUAACCAUAAAGAUGUCAUGGUAAAUCAGGUAUACAGUGAUAAGGACACUUUGAAAGCUGUGAUGGUGAAGUAUGCUAUUGACAAUAGAUUUCAAUUCCAUACCGAGCGGUCGAGUUCUACAAGGUAAUACCAUCAACUGAAUACGUGCACAUGGUGAUCGAUCAAGGGAGGCUUUUCAUAGUUUGUAUUGAAAAGAAAACUUGUAGUUGCAAAGAGUUUCAAAUGGACAAGAUUCCCUGCCCACAUGCUUGGGCUGUUUUAAGAAAAAAAAAAUCUCAAACCCGAUAAUUAUUGCUCAGAAAUAUACAAAUCGGACACUAUGAUGAAGACUUAUGAUGUUCUAAUUUACCCUCCACCCGAUGAGUCAAACUGGAAAAUACCUAGAUACAUUUUGGAAGAUGUAGUUGUCCCACCGAGAUUCAAGAGACCACCUGGAAGGCCAAAAAAGAAGCGCGAUAAUUCUUUAGCCGAGUGGUUUUCAUGUUCACGUACAAAUUCGUGUAGCAGAUGUGGAUAUACUGGACACAAUAGGCGUUCCUAUAGAAACGAGCCUCGAAGAAAAUAGUUAUUGUUUUCGUUGUAAUACCUACUGUUUCUCUUGUUUCUGUUUUGGACAAAGUCUUUUGCAAAACGCAGGUCACUAUGAAUCUGUUCAUUU